RNAcentral lists this ribosomal RNA (274 nucleotides) under uncultured bacterium. RNAcentral describes it as "partial 16S ribosomal RNA". It matches the Rfam family "Bacterial small subunit ribosomal RNA", at positions 523 to 796 of the family's 1533-position model. The record is from RNAcentral.
AUACGGAGGGGGCAAGCGUUGUUCGGAAUUACUGGGCGUAAAGCGCGCGUAGGCGGGCUGGUUAGUUGGGGGUGAAAUCCCAGGGCUUAACCCUGGAACUGCCUCUAAUACUGCCAGUCUUGAGUUCGGGAGAGGUGAGUGGAAUUCCUAGUGUAGAGGUGAAAUUCGUAGAUAUUAGGAAGAACACCAGUGGCGAAGGCGGCUCACUGGCCCGAUACUGACGCUGAGGCGCGAAAGCGUGGGGAGCAAACAGGAUUAGAAACCCUAGUAGUCC